Molecule: ribosomal RNA, 320 nt
Filed under: uncultured Prevotella sp.
Lineage: Bacteria; Pseudomonadati; Bacteroidota; Bacteroidia; Bacteroidales; Prevotellaceae
Description: partial 16S ribosomal RNA
Source: RNAcentral
GGAGUUUGGACCGUGUCUCAGUUCCAAUGUGGGGGACCUUCCUCUCAGAACCCCUACUGAUCGUUGGCCAGGUGGGCCGUUACCCCGCCUGCAACCUAAUCAGACGCAUCCCCAUCCCAUAGCGAUGAAUCUUUGCUCCAACUUAGAUGCCUGCAUUGGAGAACAUAGGGAAUUAAUCCGACUUUCGCCGGGCUGUGCCCUACUACGGGGAAGGUUGGAUACGCGUUACUCACCCGUGCGCCGGUCGCCAUCAAUCAAAGCAAGCUUCGAUUAUGCUGCCCCUCGACUUGCAUGUGUUAAGCCUGUAGCUAGCGUUCAUC